CGCGGCCUAUCAGCUUGUUGGCGGGGUAAUGGCCCACCAAGGCAACGACGGGUAGCUGGUCUGAGAGGAUGGUCGGCCACACUGGGACUGAGACACGGCCCAGACUCCUACGGGAGGCAGCAGUGGGGAAUCUUGCGCAAUGGGCGAAAGCCUGACGCAGCAACGCCGCGUGCGGGAAGAAGGCUUUCGGGCUGUAAACCGCUUUCAGCAGGAACGAAAAUGACGGUACUUGCAGAAGAAGGAGCGGCCAACUAUGUGCCAGCAGCCGCGGUGAUACAUAGGCUUCAAGCGUUGUCCGGAUUUAUUGGGCGUAAAGAGUUCGUAGGCGGUCGAGUAAGUCGGGUGUGAAAAUUCUGGGCUCAACCCAGAGACGCCACCCGAUACUGCUUAACUUGAGUUCGAUAGGGGAGUGGGGAAUUCCUAGUGUAGCGGUGAAAUGCGCAGAUAUUAGGAGGAACACCGGUGGCGAAGGCGCCACUCUGGAUCGACACUGACGCUGAGGAACGAAAGCAUGGGUAGCAAACAGGAUUAGAUACCCUGGUAGUCCAUGCGGUAAACGGUGGGCACUAGGUGUGGGUUUCUAUUAACGAAAUCCGCGCCGUCGCUAACGCAUUAAGUGCCCCGCCUGGGGAGUACGG
This 638-nucleotide ribosomal RNA is filed under the name uncultured Actinomycetes bacterium. RNAcentral describes it as "bacterial SSU rRNA". It matches the Rfam family "Bacterial small subunit ribosomal RNA", at positions 232 to 885 of the family's 1533-position model. Lineage: Bacteria; Bacillati; Actinomycetota; Actinomycetes. The record is from RNAcentral.